CUUCCAAGACAUGUGUUUUCUUUCUUGAAAUACAACAUAGACACGUGUCAGAGCCAACUUCAUGAUUUUGGUGUUCUAGCAAUUUGAGAAACUAAAGAAAAAAAGAAGAGAAACUUUUGCAUUAAAGGAAUGUUGUCUUCCUCUCAUUUCUAUCUUUAAUUUAGGUCCAUUAAUAGUAUGGUACUUUUAGUGAACAAUGAAAAGAUUUCAUUAAAGUUAACACAAUUCUUUCUCCUUUAAAGUUGAAGCUUCUCCUCUUUCAUUCCAUUUUCCAAGCUCAUAAAAUUCUUGUAAGUUGGUAUUUACUAUAUCUUUCCACUUGAUAUUUCUUUGUUUGGUCUUAAUUAGAUUUGAAACUUAACUUCAAAUUCAACUUUCUUGGAAACCAGUUGUGAC
RNAcentral lists this long non-coding RNA (396 nucleotides) under Nicotiana benthamiana. Its description in RNAcentral is "long non-coding RNA (NBEN_LNC002685)". Lineage: Eukaryota; Viridiplantae; Streptophyta; Magnoliopsida; Solanales; Solanaceae. The record is from RNAcentral.